UACGUAGGGUGCGAGCGUUGUCCGGAAUUACUGGGCGUAAAGAGCUCGUAGGUGGUUUGUCGCGUUGUUCGUGAAAACUCACAGCUUAACUGUGGGCGUGCGGGCGAUACGGGCAGACUGGAGUACUGCAGGGGAGACUGGAAUUCCUGGUGUAGCGGUGGAAUGCGCAAAUAUCAGGAGGAACACCGGUGGCGAAGGCGGGUCUCUGGGCAGUAACUGACGCUGAGGAGCGAAAGCGUGGGGAGCGAACAGG
RNAcentral lists this ribosomal RNA (253 nucleotides) under uncultured bacterium. Its description in RNAcentral is "partial 16S ribosomal RNA". It matches the Rfam family "Bacterial small subunit ribosomal RNA", at positions 524 to 776 of the family's 1533-position model. The record is from RNAcentral.